UGUGCUAGCGCUUGCCCUGUUCACCUCUCCCGGUCGUUAAGGGGACCCCGCUACAGGUAGAGCCCUGGGGAUGCUUUCAGUCCUUGAGACUUGCGUUCGGAUGGUUAGGAAGGGGAUUCGCGGCAUUCAGAGAAGCUCGGAGACGAUGCAGGCCCGGAAGCGGAAGCCGAGGAUGGAGCGGGCCGGAGGUCCGGGCUGUGAGGACCUCUGAGUCCGAGCCCACGCCCACCUCCAUCCCUCGGACCCGCGCACUGUGGGAGUUGGGACUGGACGCUUGGUCUGCGUCCGGCGAGCUCGGAGCCUGACUCUGAGCACGAGCGGGCCCGGUACCCUCCAGGUGUGCUGCGCGGGACUGGCGGCACGGCGGGGUAGCCCCGGCAGCGUUUGUCGGGCGUGGAGGGCGAGUCAAGCGAACGGGAGUGCCCGGCCUAGGGUCGGGAGUCGAGGGUCCACUCGGAGUGUAGAGAAGAGCACGUGAGGAACAUUCGUGGGGUCGGAGACAGGAAGCCACUGGUGAUCAAGGUGAUGGCUGGAGCGCUGCAGGGAGCCGUUCAGGACACAGGCGGCCUGUCACCUCCAAGAGGGCAGGAGCGACAUCCACUCUGCUGCUUGCUACACAACUGAGCAACUGAGCACACACACACGUGGAAUUAGUGAAUUGCAUUUCCCAUUGAGAACCCAGAUGAUGCAACUAUAACAUCAGAUGAUGCUUUCUAUCUAGAAACCAGCGUCACUGAGAGUCUUCCAUUACAGUUCCUGGAAUCCAGGCUUCCCUGGUGGCUCAGUGGCGAAGAAUCCACCUGCCGACGCAGCAGACAUGGGGAACUUGUUGUUUUAUUUACCAUUAUAUCCCUGGCACCCAGGAGCGAGCCAAGCAUGCCGAAGAGGGCCCAGGAUACUUUUCAAAAUUAUUCAUUUUUAUUGAGAUGUAAUCAGCAUAUAACAUUGUACUUAUUUUAUUCGAUUCAAUGUUUGCAUAUAUUGGGAACUGAUUACCACAAGAAGUUUACUUAACAUCUGUCAGCACAUGUAGUUUCAAAUUUUCCCCCCUGCCAUGAAAACUUUUACCAUCUAUUGUAUAUAUGUAUAUAUUGUAUAUUAUAUA
Capra hircus (goat) is the source of this 1105-nucleotide long non-coding RNA. RefSeq lists it as uncharacterized. Lineage: Eukaryota; Metazoa; Chordata; Mammalia; Artiodactyla; Bovidae. The record is from RefSeq and is a predicted model, not a curated record. The transcript has 3 exons.